AUCGCUUCUCGGCCUUUUGGCUAAGAUCAAGUGUAGUAUCUGUUUUACCAGUUUAAUAAAAUGAGUAUUCUGAGAUUGUGAAAAAAAUUUUAAACAGAGGGGAAUUAAGGAGAUUAAAGGGAAAUUGGUACUUCUAAAAAGCUAGCUUUGAUGACAUAAGUGCUACAAUACAGGCUAUCCAUA
This is a small nuclear RNA of 183 nucleotides. Its record names the gene U2. It matches the Rfam family "U2 spliceosomal RNA". Rfam says of the family: U2 is a small nuclear RNA (snRNA) component of the spliceosome (involved in pre-mRNA splicing). Complementary binding between U2 snRNA (in an area lying towards the 5' end but 3' to hairpin I) and the branchpoint sequence (BPS) of the intron results the bulging out of an unpaired adenosine, on the BPS, which initiates a nucleophilic attack at the intronic 5' splice site, thus starting the first of two transesterification reactions that mediate splicing. The record is from Ensembl.